CCCAUGUUUACUCCUGCUGGUCUUUUUUUUAGAGAAGGCGAAAAGUUGGAUUCAAAUGUAUUUUGCGAGUGUCGACAUUUUAAUUGUUCCUAGAUCUUGUAACUCUUGUGCCAACGAGUUAGCAAAACUUGGCUUCAGUACAACGAGUUAGAUCUUGUCUGAUCGGUUGCACCUUUUUGCACAUCUGUCUCUGUCUGUGCUCCCCUGAUGU
RNAcentral lists this long non-coding RNA (211 nucleotides) under Sorghum bicolor (sorghum). Its description in RNAcentral is "long non-coding RNA (SBIC_LNC000175)". Lineage: Eukaryota; Viridiplantae; Streptophyta; Magnoliopsida; Poales; Poaceae. The record is from RNAcentral.